GGGCACUAUGCUAGCUUUAGGGUCUAACUCAGCAGUGAGAACAUCAUGUCCACUCAGAUAUGAGAAUAGUUUGCCAGGCCACAUUUGAGCAUAACAAGAAGCAUUCUGGGAACUGUAGUUCAGUGACCACCUGGCUUAAAACUCCAUUUUCCUGUCGUUGGCUCCUCUCCUCCACUUCAGAAAAAGCAAUCCUUUCAGCAGGUAGAGAAAGAAAAUUGAAGAGGCUGUUUGACUAUGGACCGUCCAUUAGAGGGCAGCAGUGUCUGAGGACAGAGCUCACACAGCAGAUGAGAAACAGCAGAACUGAUGGAUUCCUUGGUUUGAUCUAGUUGGCAGUGACUAUGGCAGGAUAAGUGAAUUGCCAGAAGGGUUUGGAUGCCGUACAGUAAAUAACGCUUGGAGCCACAUAAUGAAUGAUGAAGAUAAAAAUAAAUAUUGGCUAUCCAUUCAGUGAGUGCUGUUCAACCUGUGCACAGAAAGAAGCAGUAGUCCUGUGGAAAAAAUAGAAUGUGAUAGUAAAAUUAAAAUCAGAAUACAUAUGCAUAAGGGUCCCAAAUUAAAGUUGUACUGGCAACCUUAA
Molecule: long non-coding RNA, 580 nt
Organism: Alligator mississippiensis (American alligator)
Lineage: Eukaryota; Metazoa; Chordata; Crocodylia; Alligatoridae
Exons: 2
Source: RefSeq, a predicted model, not a curated record